ACAAAAUUUUAAGAGGAAAUAAGUAGUUUAACCCGUGUAUCAAGCUGUUUAAAAAACCAGCACCACAAAAAGAAAAGGGGGGGUUGGGAUAUUGGUGCCCACGCAGCAGGACAUGGACUUCAUCUGGAGUCUCUCUCUCAGCUCAGGGAUCCAGCUUGCAUGCAGGAGAGAGAUUACAGUCGGAUCUGUGUUGUGGUCUGUUGAACAGCCUGACCCUUCAUGCACGGAUUAGCUCCAGUUACCAUUAAUGGAAAGUAGAGCAUUCGACCAGCCCACAGAGUUCAGUCGGCUUCAGACCCAGAUGACUCCAUUAGCAGCGAGAUGCCCAUCGUGUCUCCAGCAGCUGCUAAAGGUUAUUCUUCUGUGCCUGUUUCACUCCUUCCAGACUCUGGAAACCGAAUCUCCGAUGGGACGUGCAGAGAGGAGAAGCGCUGAUGUGUGUUGGGCUGGAGACAAGGCCCGUCUUUGUGUUGGGAGAGUGAAUGAUGAAUAUGCUCUCUAGACUCGACUUCUCUCUUCCAGCGGCCGCUGAUGUUGGAAAGCUAAGCGGCUCGUUUAGUCACUGCAUGUGUGGUGAAGUAAUAAACACUGCUUUAAAUAUCCUGAACCUCACAAGACAUGCAAUCCAGACCACUCAAGCAUUAUUCAGAAUAAACAGCAGUGAUUGGUGCAUCAUCUUCAUUAUUUUUAUCAGUUUAUGCACACUACUGUAUAGCUCUAUUAAUAAUAUAUACAUUAAAAAG
Molecule: long non-coding RNA, 743 nt
Organism: Cyprinus carpio carpio
Lineage: Eukaryota; Metazoa; Chordata; Actinopteri; Cypriniformes; Cyprinidae
Source: Ensembl